AAUAAAAGAUGAAUCCUGCCCAGUGGUUUCUAAUUAAUUAAUAUUAAAAUGUUAUAAUGAAACUAAACGGAAGCGGUAACUAUGACCGUAGUAAUGUAGCGUAAUCAUUAGCCAUUUAAUUGGUGGAUAGUAUGAAAGGAUAAACGAAUAUUUCACUGUCUUAGAAAAAGAUCAUUUAAAAUUGAAAUAAUAGUGAAGAUGCUAUUUAAAAUUGUAAGACGAAAAGACCCUAUAGAGCUUGACUAUAAACUUUAUAACUAUAAUAUUAUAAAGUUUGGUAGUUUAGUUGGGGCGACUGUUUUUUAAACAUAACAAAAAUAAACAACAUUAAUCAAAUAAUUUAUUAUAUAAUUCAUAAAUUUAAUAAUUACUAAAGUAGGUGAUAAUGACCCGUUAUUUCUUAAUAAAUUAGAAUAACGUUUAAUAAAUAAAAGCUACCUUAGGGAUAACAGGAUAAUUUUGUGUUAGAGUUCUAAUUAAACACAAAGUUUGUCACCUCUAUGUUGAAUUAAGAUAUCCUGAUGGUGCAGAAGCUAUCAAAGGUAGGUCU
RNAcentral lists this ribosomal RNA (550 nucleotides) under Proboscidactyla ornata. RNAcentral describes it as "partial 16S ribosomal RNA". It matches the Rfam family "Bacterial large subunit ribosomal RNA", at positions 1844 to 2578 of the family's 2925-position model. The record is from RNAcentral. Lineage: Eukaryota; Metazoa; Cnidaria; Hydrozoa; Anthoathecata; Proboscidactylidae.